UAACCUAUGUGCAAGGACUUCGUAAACUAAAAUUUCAAAUAUAGGCAGCUGAAUUUUCUACUUGUAAAAUAAAAUCCUUCACAAACUUUUUUUCGCAUGCAAAAUUUAACAGAGUUAUAAGUACUAGAGAUUAUUCACCCGCGCUGUAAGAAAUAUCAAUUGUCCAUCUUCUGCUGGCUUUUAGGAACCUGAAACUGGAGCCUGUAGGUAGACAUUAUGUUUGGUUUCAUUUUAAAAUAGUUAAUUGAAACUCAGCCACCACACCCUUAGCAACCCUAAUUACUAUUUUGCUUUUUCUUGUUUCAUCCAUUAGAGAGGGGUGAUUUCACCAUCCAUAACUUGUGCCAACUUCAAAUCACCAUAAGACAAGUCUUGAAAAAACAUAAGAUGCUUUGUUGAAGUUGCAUACACAACCAGCAGAGUUGGGCAAAUAUAGGCAAUGCUAAGCUCACUAGAACAAAAUCACCGUACUAAACACCAAUAUGAUACUUGAUAAACUGCACCUAUUAUCUUUUAGAAUAGCAGAAAACAAAAACAAAAUUCAAACAAACUAUUAAAAUAGAUAUUUAUCAACGAUUCAUUUUAAAUUAUUAAUCAUCUCUAAAACUCUAACAUUCAAAACGAUUCCGGGAAAGGAUAAAUCACACCUACAUCUUUGAUCUCCAACCAAACAACUCAAUGAAACCAAAACAGUUUCAAUUUUCAUUUCAACAAGCUAGCUAUUACCAUUUUAAAUUUUCACCAAAAUUGCUCACAAUCACCUCCCACAGACCGACAGCAACUCGGGUAGUUGAAUCACUAACAAGUCCGAUCUCUAGCCAAAACAAGAACAGACAAAGAGCUAAAAACUUCAAGCAUUUUAAGCCCAAUUCAAACAUUUUAUCAAAUAGCUUGUGCACAAUGAUGAUGAAUGCUCGUUGAUAGUGAGAAUACUAAAAUCAUUUAACCCCAAAUUUAGACCCUAAAUCAUUUAACCCCAAUUUAUAACCUAAAUCAUUUCACCCUAACCCUAAUUCACUUUUAAAGAAUGCUUACCUUAAGGAUAAACAGAGCUUCAGAUAACAAAUUGCAACGAGGAGAGUGAGAAAGAGAUCACAUUGCAGCGAGGAUAGCGAGAGAGAUCGCACGCAGUGAGUAGAGCGAGAGACAGAACAAGACACAUACAAGAAGGCGGCGGAGUGGAGAGAGACGACUUGGCGGCGACUGUGGCAGCUUGAAGAGGUUGCGCGGCGGAAAAAGCUACAAAGGGAAGAGGGAGCUACGGAAAUAGAAAAUAGGAAAAUGACAAAAAGAUAAUGUCCCACAAGUCACAUGUGGGAGGUUUCUCAAUUAGCAAAAUGACCAAUAUACCCCUUUGUGUUGUAUAUUUG
RNAcentral lists this long non-coding RNA (1370 nucleotides) under Trifolium pratense (red clover). RNAcentral's name for it is "long non-coding RNA (TPRA_LNC013439)". The record is from RNAcentral. Lineage: Eukaryota; Viridiplantae; Streptophyta; Magnoliopsida; Fabales; Fabaceae.